Molecule: ribosomal RNA, 253 nt
Filed under: uncultured bacterium
Lineage: Bacteria
Description: partial 16S ribosomal RNA
Rfam family: Bacterial small subunit ribosomal RNA
Source: RNAcentral
UACGUAGGGUGCGAGCGUUAAUCGGAAUUACUGGGCGUAAAGAGUGUGUAGGCGGUGCUCUAAGUUCGGUGUGAAAUCUCCUGGCUUAACUGGGAGGGUGCGCCGGAAACUGGAGUGCUCGAGCGUGGGAGAGGAAAGCGGAAUUCCUGGUGUAGCGGUGAAAUGCGUAGAUAUCAGGAGGAACACCUGCGGUGUAGACGGCUUUCUGGACCAUUGCUGACGCUGAGACACGAAAGCGUGGGUAGCAAACAGG